CGCGGGGAGAUGACGUAACGGGAGCCAUUUUGGAUGUUAUUCAGUUUUGUGUGGUGCUUGGAAAGAGCUUCGUCAGUUUUGAACUUCGUUAAUUUUUGAUCUCCUUUGCUCAGAAGAGCUGUUGGAAAGGUCGUAAUACCGCAGUUCAGAAGAACAGACCAAAUCGGAGAAAAUGCCUCCUCUUGAAGCGGAUAUACCGGUGAUACCGGUGGAAGUACAAGAUAUGGAAAGUAUUAAGCGUCGUAUAAUAGAGGAGAUUAAAGACCUGUGCUUAGUGAUGAAGAAAGUAAUGUCAGAGCACUUGGAAGGUUUCAGGGAGUUCGAGUUAACAAAAAUGUGUAAGCCGGAUUGGCCACCAAAUGAGACUACUGAUGUAAAUGCCAAACAAGAGGAUAUAGAGAAAAAGGGAGAUGAAAUCAAGAUAAGAGGAGAAAAAGAGAAUUAGAAGGGUGGUCCCCCAGAUGCAGUCUACGCAUAAUAGAAAUACCUGAAACAAGACAAAGCAAAUGAAGCUGAAAUAAUUAACUAACUAACUGAGGACAUUUUUCCAGAGUUGAAGAACAAACUAGGUCUGCAAAUGGAAAAACUCACAGGGUUCCUUUAAAUUUUAAUGAAAAGGAAACAACGCCUAGACAUAUUCUGGUGACUUUAAAUUUUCAAGGAUAAAGAAAAAUUUUUACAUGUAUUCAGGGAGAAACCAGGUUACCGAUAAAGCGGCAAAAUUCAGUCUGCCUUUAGGCUUUUUUCUUUUGCAAUUCUAAAUGCCGGAAGACCAUGGAACAGUAUCUACAAAGUUUUAAGGGUAAAUCAUUUUGAACCGAGUCACAUAUACCCUGCCAAGUUAUUUUUUCUGUUCGCAGGCAAUUGGAAGAUAGUUAUGCAGAGGUUAAGAAAAUCUUACCAACUAAGAACCUUCUCUGAAAAUCUUGCUGAUUUACUGCAGUCAAUAGAGAAUGUGAGUUAAUAUAAGUAGGGAGGCAAUUGUAUUAAAGAAUUAAUGGUAAGCAUUAAAACUAAAGAGCAUUGCGUUUCAGUUGGUGCAUGUAGGGUAAUAAAGUUUAAUACAAAAAAUAGAUUUGUAAGCAGCAUGUAAAUUUUUUAACUUUAUAGUUUUAAGCUGCCAAAAGGCUUGCCAAAUACUCAGAUGUAUUGGUCAAAUAAAUAGUUUUAUUUUUGCCAUGUAGUAUUGUAGAUAAAAACUCUUUGUUAAGCUAAGAAAUACAAAGGCUUUGUCAUUGUGGAAAGGAGAUGUACAAUAAAGACUGUACUUGUUAA
Sciurus carolinensis (gray squirrel) is the source of this 1275-nucleotide long non-coding RNA. RefSeq lists it as uncharacterized. The transcript is spliced from 2 exons. The record is from RefSeq and is a predicted model, not a curated record. NCBI's taxonomy places the organism in Eukaryota, Metazoa, Chordata, Mammalia, Rodentia, Sciuridae.